UACGAAGGGUGCAAACGUUGCUCGGAAUUACUGGGCGUAAAGCGCGUGUAGGCGGCUAUGUAAGUCGGGCGUGAAAUCCCAUGGCUCAACCAUGGAACGUGCACCCGAAACUGCGUAGCUAGAGUCCUGGAGAGGAAGGUGGAAUGCUUGGUGUAGAGGUGAAAUUCGUAGAUAUCAAGCGGAACACCGGUGGCGAAGGCGGCCUUCUGGACAGUGACUGAC
RNAcentral lists this ribosomal RNA (222 nucleotides) under uncultured bacterium. RNAcentral's name for it is "partial 16S ribosomal RNA". It matches the Rfam family "Bacterial small subunit ribosomal RNA", at positions 524 to 744 of the family's 1533-position model. The record is from RNAcentral.